RNAcentral lists this ribosomal RNA (406 nucleotides) under uncultured bacterium. RNAcentral describes it as "bacterial SSU rRNA". It matches the Rfam family "Bacterial small subunit ribosomal RNA", at positions 355 to 775 of the family's 1533-position model. The record is from RNAcentral.
UUAGGAAUUUUGCGCAAUGGCCGGAAGGCUGACGCAGCAACGCCGCGUGGGUGAGGACGGCCUUCGGGUUGUAAAGCCCUUUUCCCAGGGACGAAGACAGUGACGGUACCUGGGGAAGAAGCCCCGGCUAACUACGUGCCAGCAGCCGCGGUAAGACGUAGGGGGCGAGCGUUGUCCGGAUUUAUUGGGCGUAAAGGGCGUGUAGGCGGCUUGUUAAGGGUGUGGUGAAAUCUCCCGGCUUAACUGGGAGGGGACCGCGCCGACUGGGGAGCUAGAGGACGGUAGGGGCGCGCGGAAUUCCCGGUGUAGUGGUGAAAUGCGUAGAGAUCGGGAGGAACACCGGUGGCGAAGGCGGCGCGCUGGGCCGGCCCUGACGCUGAAACGCGAAAGCGUGGGGAGCGAACUG